AUGAUGAUCUAGAUUAUAAAGUUUAUGGUUUUUGUCUGAAUAAACAUGACGAAACUAUUCUAGGGCGGUCUGAUUUU
Molecule: non-coding RNA, 77 nt
Organism: Solenopsis invicta (red fire ant)
Lineage: Eukaryota; Metazoa; Arthropoda; Insecta; Hymenoptera; Formicidae
Source: Rfam